CACCUUGCUUAAAAAUGCUAUUCACAAUCUACUCACCUUUGAAAGUCGCUCAUCCUCAUUACUAUUCGGUGUGAAAAGACCGAAUAUUGUGAUAGUGCAUAAAAUGAAAGUGGGAGCCUGGAUAACAAGUACAUAAUA
This is a non-coding RNA of Caenorhabditis elegans, 138 nucleotides long. NCBI's taxonomy places the organism in Eukaryota, Metazoa, Nematoda, Chromadorea, Rhabditida, Rhabditidae. The record is from Ensembl.